ACGGGGCUAAACCAUGCACCGAAGCUGCGGCAGCGACACUGUGUGUUGUUGGGUAGGGGAGCGUUCUGUAAGCCUGUGAAGGUGUGUCGUGAGGCAUGCUGGAGGUAUCAGAAGUGCGAAUGCUGACAUAAGUAACGAUAAAGCGGGUGAAAAGCCCGCUCGCCGGAAGACCAAGGGUUCCUGUCCAACGUUAAUCGGGGCAGGGUGAGUCGACCCCUAAGGCGAGGCCGAAAGGCGUAGUCGAUGGGAAACGGGUUAAUAUUCCCGUACUUGGUGUUACUGCGAAGGGGGGACGGAGAAGGCUAUGUUGGCCGGGCGACGGUUGUCCCGGUUUAAGCGUGUAGGUGUGUGUUCCAGGUAAAUCCGGUUCACUUUAACACUGAGGCGUGACGACGAGGCACUACGGUGCUGAAGCAACAAAUGCCCUGCUUCCAGGAAAAGCCUCUAAGCAUCAGGUAACAUCAAAUCGUACCCCAAACCGACACAGGUGGUCAGGUAGAGAAUACCAAGGCGCUUGAGAGAACUCGGGUGAAGGAACUAGGCAAAAUGGUGCCGUAACUUCGGGAGAAGGCACGCUGACACGUAGGUGAAGUGAUUUACUCAUGGAGCUGAAGUCAGUCGAAGAUACCAGCUGGCUGCAACUGUUUAUUAAAAACACAGCACUGUGCAAACACGAAAGUGGACGUAUACGGUGUGACGCCUGCCCGGUGCCGGAAGGUUAAUUGAUGGGGUCAGCGCAAGCGAAGCUCCUGAUCGAAGCCCCGGUAAACGGCGGCCGUAACUAUAACGGUCCUAAGGUAGCGAAAUUCCUUGUCGGGUAAGUUCCGACCUGCACGAAUGGCGUAAUGAUGGCCAGGCUGUCUCCACCCGAGACUCAGUGAAAUUGAACUCGCUGUGAAGAUGCAGUGUACCCGCGGCAAGACGGAAAGACCCCGUGAACCUUUACUAUAGCUUGACACUGAACAUUGAGCCUUGAUGUGUAGGAUAGGUGGGAGGCUUUGAAGUGUGGACGCCAGUCUGCAUGGAGCCGACCUUGAAAUACCACCCUUUAAUGUUUGAUGUUCUAACGUGGACCCGUUACCCGGGUUGCGGACAGUGUCUGGUGGGUAGUUUGACUGGGGCGGUCUCCUCCUAAAGAGUAACGGAGGAGCACGAAGGUUGGCUAAUCCUGGUCGGACAUCAGGAGGUUAGUGCAAUGGCAUAAGCCAGCUUGACUGCGAGCGUGACGGCGCGAGCAGGUGCGAAAGCAGGUCAUAGUGAUCCGGUGGUUCUGAAUGGAAGGGCCAUCGCUCAACGGAUAAAAGGUACUCCGGGGAUAACAGGCUGAUACCGCCCAAGAGUUCAUAUCGACGGCGGUGUUUGGCACCUCGAUGUCGGCUCAUCACAUCCUGGGGCUGAAGUAGGUCCCAAGGGUAUGGCUGUUCGCCAUUUAAAGUGGUACGCGAGCUGGGUUUAGAACGUCGUGAGACAGUUCGGUCCCUAUCUGCCGUGGGCGCUGGAGAACUGAGGGGGGCUGCUCCUAGUACGAGAGGACCGGAGUGGACGCAUCACUGGUGUUCGGGUUGUCAUGCCAAUGGCACUGCCCGGUAGCUAAAUGCGGAAGAGAUAAGUGCUGAAAGCAUCUAAGCACGAAACUUGCCCCGAGAUGAGUUCUCCCUGAGACUUAAAGUCUCCUGAAGGAACGUUGAAGACGACGACGUUGAUAGGCCGGGUGUGUAAGCGCAGCGAUGCGUUGAGCUAACCGGUACUAAUGAACCGUGAGGCUUAACCUUACA
RNAcentral lists this ribosomal RNA (1775 nucleotides) under Salmonella enterica. RNAcentral's name for it is "partial 23S ribosomal RNA". It matches the Rfam family "Bacterial large subunit ribosomal RNA", at positions 1175 to 2925 of the family's 2925-position model. Lineage: Bacteria; Pseudomonadati; Pseudomonadota; Gammaproteobacteria; Enterobacterales; Enterobacteriaceae. The record is from RNAcentral.